Heterocephalus glaber (naked mole-rat) is the source of this 1022-nucleotide non-coding RNA. The record is from RefSeq and is a predicted model, not a curated record. Lineage: Eukaryota; Metazoa; Chordata; Mammalia; Rodentia; Bathyergidae.
GCCAGCGGUCAUUUUCACAGCUGAAGGUCAGCCACUGGAUAACCACUGCCGCUCAGGGCCCAUACUUUCUGCCCUGGGUGAAGUGAGUUACUCCCACUCAGAGGCAAAGGGGUUAACUGCUCUGUGCAGUAAUUUGGGCUCAGAUCCCGGCUCUGCCCUUUCCUACCCGUCUGGCUUCUGGGAAAGUUACUUGACUUUUCUGGGCCUUAUUUUCCUUGUCUAUAACAUGAGGAUAAUAGUAUCUACUCUGAAGGGUUCUCGGGAGGAUAAAGUGAGUUCAUACAUGGAAAGGCCUGGGAUCAGCAUGUGGAUGGUGGAAAUGUUGUAGAAGACCUGGACUUUAAUACUGUGUAUUACCUCUACAGCUCUAUGAAUGUUCUUCCUUCCUGGCACCUGGAUAUUCCUAAUUAUGCAAAUUUACCAGAGAGACAUAAAAGAAACAGCUGCCUCCAAACUAAGAGGAGGUUGACAGUCAAAAGAACACUUGGACAAGUCUAGUUGGGAUUAACUGCUCCGUGCACCCAAGUCAUUACCGCGAGUGUGGAAGAACUCUGAAUUGGAUGAAAAAGGAGUCGAAGAAAGAUGUGCACUGCUUUAAUGAAGCAGCGCUUUAGGAGAAUUCAGCGGAACUUCUCUGAAAUACGAUAUUUAGCUGUAUCUCAUUCUUCGAUUACAGUUGGCCGAAUGCAUUCCCUGAUGAGUUUAUGUCAGCCACUAUGAAAUCUUAACAAAGAGGUGAACGGAUGGAAGAGGAGUGCCGAAAAGAGGGAAAAAAAAGAAAUUUCUGUAAGUAGUACUGUUUUGUUGUGGCUUUUAAUAAAGACCUUUGUUUAAACACUGUCCCUUCCACUCAGAAUGCCCCCUCCACCUCAGCCACACCCUCACCGCCCGCAGGCCCAGCUGGAACUUCCUGUCCAGCUCCCCACGGCAGCAAGAAUGGCUUCUUCUGUUGACCUUCUGUGACCCCUUCUACAUCUUUCUCAGGCUGCUGAUCACUUCCUGCUUAGCAUUACACUAAUGCA